RNAcentral lists this non-coding RNA (72 nucleotides) under Pseudomonas sp. FW306-2-2C-A10BC. RNAcentral also lists the same sequence under 8 other names. The record is from RNAcentral. Lineage: Bacteria; Pseudomonadati; Pseudomonadota; Gammaproteobacteria; Pseudomonadales; Pseudomonadaceae.
CCGUGAAACCUGAUUCCCUCUUGGAGUUAGGUCUGCCGGGCGUGGUUGUCCGGUACUGAGGAGCAGCCAAUG